Molecule: ribosomal RNA, 440 nt
Filed under: uncultured bacterium
Lineage: Bacteria
Description: partial 16S ribosomal RNA
Rfam family: Bacterial small subunit ribosomal RNA
Source: RNAcentral
CCUACGGGAGGCAGCAGUGGGGAAUAUUGCACAAUGGGGGAAACCCUGAUGCAGCGACGCCGCGUGAGUGAAGAAGUAUUUCGGUACGUAAAGCUCUAUCAGCAGGGAAGAAAAUGACGGUUCCUGACUAAGAAGCCCUGGCUAACUACGUGCCAGCAGCAGCGGUAAUACGUAGGGGGCAAGCGUUAUCCGGAUUUACUGGGUGUAAAGGGAGCGUAGACGGCAGCGCAAGUCUGGAGUGAAAUCCCAUGGCUUAACCAUGGAACUGCAUUGGAAACUGUGCAGCUAGAGUGCAGGAGAGGUAAGCGGAAUUCCUAGUGUAGCGGUGAAAUGCGUAGAUAUUAGGAGGAACACCAGUGGCGAAGGCGGCUUACUGGACUGUAACUGACGUUGAGGCUCGAAAGCGUGGGGAGCAAACAGGAUUAGAUACCCUGGUAGUC